GAUGAACGCUGGCCGCAUGCUUAACACAUGCAAGUCGAACGAAGGAUGCUUUGCUUGCAUCGCAUCCUUAGUGGCGAACGGGUGAGUAACGCGUUGGUGACCUACCCCAAAGCGAGGGAUAGCAACUGGAAACGGUUGGUAAUACCUCAUAAAAUCCUACGGAUUAGAAGCCGUUUGAUUAAAGGAGUAAUCCACUUUGGGAGGGGCCUGCGUCCCAUCAGCUAGUUGGUAGGGUAAUGGCCUACCAAGGCGAUGACGGGGUAGGGGACCUGAGAGGGUGGCCCCCCACAAUGGAACUGAAACACGGUCCAUACACCUACGGGAGGCAG
Molecule: ribosomal RNA, 329 nt
Filed under: uncultured Acidobacteriota bacterium
Lineage: Bacteria; Pseudomonadati; Acidobacteriota
Description: bacterial SSU rRNA
Rfam family: Bacterial small subunit ribosomal RNA
Source: RNAcentral